UUGUACUAAGUGGCGGAGCCGGAAAUUAUUUUUAGGUAUGGUGGAUUUAUAAACGGCAAUUGGUUAACUAUACAUACACACCUCAAAACAUUAUGCAUUUAUAUAUAUAUAUAUAGAGCAAAUAUAAUAGAAAUUCAAAAGUAAAGCAUUGAUACUUAAAAUACCUCACUAAAUGAAGAUUUUUUAUAUUCUACCUCUUGAAUACUCACCAGAACCAGCUCAAUGCCUACAUCCUCUGCCUCUUCUUGUUGUCCAGCAACACCAUCUACUGGCAUAGCUGGGUUGGAGUUGCUAAUGGUAAAUGCUUUGGAAAAAAGUGUCUUCAAAUCUGUAUUCAAAAAUAACAAGACAAAAAAGAAAAAUAAUACAUGAUUGUUAAAUAAAAUAACACUCAAACAGUACUACAGAAAAAAAAUUUGGAGGCGAGCGUUUUAUAUUUUCAGAGGCGGACAAAAGCAACCGGUCACGGUUAAUAAUUGCUUAACGGAGACGGUUACCCUACCCGCUUCCAUUAAUCGAUUAAUGGAAGCGGUCAUUUUAGAGCGCCCGCCGCUGUUAUUGAAUAUUAAAAAUAAAAAAAGAACAAGCCCAGAUGAGCCCGCUAGCCCAAUUCAGUCUGCCGCAUGCGUCAUUGCCAUUGGGGCCAGAUCCACAGCUCGGGUGGACAGAUCUGCGACCAGUUGCUCCUCCUUGACGGAACCGCCGCAAGUACAUCCUCCUCGCCAUACCGUUGCCAUCGCCGGGGCACGAGCUCGGCACCACCGCCUCUAGAUCCGCGCAGGGGAAGGAGCAAUAGGGUGUGGCGCUUCCUCGCGCACCGCCACAGGAAGCCUCUCCCGCUAGGUGCUGUUGCUGGAGAAGGACGCACCGAGGAGGGCGCUUCCUCGCACGGUCGUGCCCACACUGGAGGAGCACCGCUGCCUUGCUCGUGUCGCCGGCCCGCCUCGAACGCACCACC
Molecule: long non-coding RNA, 958 nt
Filed under: Sorghum bicolor (sorghum)
Lineage: Eukaryota; Viridiplantae; Streptophyta; Magnoliopsida; Poales; Poaceae
Description: long non-coding RNA (SBIC_LNC015426)
Source: RNAcentral